UGCAUUGUGGGCUACUACUGGCGGGAAUUUUCUAUUGAUCUAAUUUUUCAACUCUUGUGGAAGGAUCCAUUUUGGUAUAAAAAUGGUGCAUUGAACGGCUGUUAACACAUUUGAAUUGAAAGUUUCGUCGAAAAGAAAUCUAAUAACUGUAGCAGAAAAUUUGAACAACCUAAUGUUUAGAGAAAGCAAUGUAAAGCAUUUCUUUAAAAUGAUAACACAACUUAAAGAAAUCAAAAACUUUUCCAAUAUAACAUUAGCCAUAGCCAUGCUUACAUCAAUUACAGAUAACUUUUCAUUUUUCCAAAAACUGGUUAUGAUGUUGGAUGCCAUUUCUUUUAACAAUAAGUUGUAACUGCAUGAAUCCCAAUUAUAAGCACACUAAACUUCUAAGUGUAUUCUAAGUCAUACACCAUAUAUAUAACAAAUUUGUGAAGAAAAUUGAUUAAAAAUAAUUUAACUCAUCUGUACUCUGUAGGUCCUAUGUAUUGCACUAGGACUGAAGACAAACACUGCACUUGGACUGAAGACAAACACUGCACUUGGACUGAAGACAAACACUGCACUUGGACUGAAGACAAACACUGCACUUGGACUGAAGACAAACACUGCACUAGGACUGAAGACAAACACUGCACUAGGACUGAAGACAAACACUGCACUUGGACUGAAGACAAACACUACACGUAGACUAAAGACUUUAGACAUAAUAUCCAAGUUAAAUGGGACUAGGGACCACUGGAACUAGCUCCCUCAAAAACAGAUUCAUUAUUGACCUCUAUAUUGAUGUGUUAUGAUGAAAUCAUGCUUUUGAUAGUUGCAUUGAUAAAUAAUCGUGCAUUAAAACAUUGGAUUGACUUUGACCCAAGACUUAUUAUAGUUUCUCCAGAGUAUAAAUGAGUUUGCCAAUUUGAAGUGUUUAGAAGAAAAGUGUUCAGAAUUUUAAUAUUUACCAAUUUGUGAAAUUUGAUAGUAUGGCUAAUGGCUGGUGCACCAAAAUAGAUUUUCAUAAUUUGCUGUAUUUUCACUGAUACAAAUUCUGAAAAAUUGUAACAGCAAAUAGCUUCUGUUUAAAGCAGAUAUAAAUUAAGAGCUUUUGUUAAAUUUCUUUAAUUUAUGUUGCCCUCCUUGAUGGAAGAAGACCCAUUCAUGGCAGAUAGCAAGAGUCAUAAUAUACCCAAAUAUGUUCCACUCCAACGAGAGGGAUUUCGUGGUGAAUAACACUCCGGGAUGAGUCGCAUAUACCCAAAUAUGUUCCACUCCAACGAGAGGGAUUUCAUGGUGAAUAACACAUCAAGAUGAGUCGCAUAUACCCAAAUAUGUUCCACUCCAACGAGAGGGAUUUCGUGGUGAAUAACACUCCAGGAUGAGUCGCAUAUACAGCCUACAUAUGUUGUGCUACUGAACAAUGAAUAUUGUUUCAUGGUAGAUGGAUCUCGCAUCAGAAUGUUUAGCAUGUAUGGAUUUGAUACAGCCAAAAUAUGUUAUACUCCUAGACAAUGAAGAUGCUUUCAUGGUAUACAACACUUGAGGAUUAUUGGCAUAUGCAGCCUAUAUAUGUAACUCCGCUCCAAUGAAGAUAGUUUCAUUGUAGAUAGUGCAUUAGGAUAAGUCACAUAACCAGCCUAAAUAUGUUGGCACUCCUUUACCAUGAAAGAUGCUUGCAUUGUAGAAAACACAUAAGAAUGAGUUACAUAUACAGCCUCAAUAUGUAACACUCCUUUACCAUGAAAGCACAUUGGGACAAGUUGCAUAUUCAACUUAAAACAGAUGAUGUUUCAGUCGUAUCAGGUGCAGCAUGAUAGCCAAACAGUUGAACUGAUUAUUGUGAUGAGACAGUUUAUUGCUUUGGAAUAUCUAAUUAUAUAGUUUAUAGAUUUAGAUAAUAAAAUUCUGUAAUGUUCAUAAUAUCAGAUGAUAAUUUGUUAAGUGCCCUCAAUAUGUCUUCAACGAGAUAUUAACAUGCACAAUUAAGGAUGUACUGUACGAAAUCUUCAACAUUCUUAUUCAUAAAAGUAGUUUCUGAUUCUCAAUUUUAUAAGAUAUAUACAUAUUUACCUGAAUUUAUUUUUAAUGUAAUUGUAAUAAUAUGACUGUAUUUAGAUUGUUUGAAAUUCAAGUUGAGUUUCAAUUAUUUCUUUUCAAAAUAUGAUAUAUCACAUUCUUCUGGUUUCAAUUUUUGAAAUUUAAAAAUGAAAUAUAGCCAAACGAUCAAUUGAACAGUGGUGUUGGUUGAAGUUAAUACCAGCUCUUCAUAGGAUCUUAAAAUGCCUAAAAUGGAAACAAUGUUUAAAUUUAACAAGUUACCAUAUCUACUGAUGAAGAAAUUAGAAUAUUGUGUAUGUUCCUUUUUUGUACAAAUGGACAUCUUUUGAGUAAUUGAUUGGAACACCCAAACAAUAAUUUAAUCAUUUGGGUUUUUUCUUGUAUAUCCAUCAUUGAUUUUGUAAGAUAAAAAUUUUAAAUAAAGUCAUUUUUUGUUAAAAUUAUUUCUCAUUUUUAUCAACACAAAUAAAAUUCUAUUAAACUAAUAGUUUAGUUCAUGCUCCUUUUAUCUAUAUCUUAAAAGUUUUGUGGUGGACUAAGAAAAUAUCAAAUGAUCAUUUCAGAAAUACACUUGAUUGCAGCGCUGCAUCUUCACUAACAUUUAACAUAGUUGGUUCUGGGUUUCUGAUCUAGUUCUUGUAGGUGUGUUUCUUUGUUUUUUCUAUAGAGGAAUCGGCGGUUUCUAAGUCUUCAGGAUAUGGUUUUGUCAUUCAAAGGGAACUCGCAAUCUUGCAAUGUAAUUCUGAAAUGAUCUAUAUUUGAUAUUUUAUUUUCAUUGAAAAAGAAACAAUAUUAAAUUUGUUGUAUGAACAUUUGAACUAUUUAAACUUUAUAAUUCAUAAUUUUUGGAAAUAAAAUUCAAAUUGUACCUGACACAGUUUGGAAAUAAAAUUCAAAUUGUAACUGACACAUUUUGGAAAUAAAAUUCAAAUUUUAACUGACACAGUUUGGAAAUAAUAUUCAAAUUUUAACUGACACAUUUUGGAAAUAAAAUUCAAAUUGUAACUGACCCAUUUUGGAAAUAGAAUUCAAAUUGUAACUGACCCAUUUUGGAAAAUAAAUUCAAAUUGUAACUGACAUAUUUUGGAAAUAGAAUUCAAAUUGUAACUGACCCAUUUUGGAAAUAGAGCUCAAAUUGUAACUGACACAUUUUGGAAAUUGAAUUCAAAUUGUAACUGACAGUUUGGGAAUAGAAUUCAAAUUGUAACUAACACAUUUUGAUGGAUAGAAUUUUAAAAACAAGAAAAUUUAUGUACUUCAUUUAAGCACAAGUGAAAACACAAUUCCAAAAUUUAAAUUUUUGCUACAUUUGAUAAAUUGGAUUUGCAAAAUCACUGAUGGCUUACAAGGUUAAUUCCCUUAUUAGUUAGAUAAUGAAGUAUAGUCUAGUGGACCCUGUAGACAUUCUACUAAAUGUAUUGAUAUAUUAAAAAUUUGUUUAUAUCUCAAUCAAAAUUUGUACAUGCCUCGCACAAAAUGGUGCAAGCAGAGUUGCAUGUACUGGACAGAGUCGGCUAUCAACUUUUAUAUAAAAAACCAUUUCACAAUCAAUAUUUGUAAAUGCCUCACACAUAAAGGUGCAAGCAGAGUUGCAUGUACUGGACAUUGUAGAGUAUUUUUAUAACAAAACCACAGAACUGGUAUCCAGGAAAUUGAAAUGAAUCAACGAUACUGUCAUUUAUGUUGUAGAAAUAUAUUUUUCAGCGUUCCGCAUUAUAGCGGAAAAUUCUGUCUUAAAGUUUCUGUAAUAUUGUGUAUGGGUCAUAAUGAUUUGAUGGGUCAGGUGACCUAAUGUUUUGUUAUGUUAAUUUGUUAUUCACGAGUUCGUGAAAAAAUUGUCUAGGCGGUCAUUCUAGCUGUAGAUAUCGUACAGUUAAAACUUUUUUUUUUUGCAUAAAAAAAUGUUUUUUUUAUAUAAUCAUGACUAUGAGUACGGCAUCAUUACCCCGAAAUGGCUCUUGCAUUGCUCCGUGCGCAGGUUUCCAAACUAUAUAAGUUGUUUUUUCCUGUGCGGAGAGUGUCUGUUUAUGACGGGUAUUUAUGAUAUGAUAUUUAUCAUUUGGUAUGUUCUUGGAAGUUAUAGAUAUUCAUUACUAUUGUUGCCGAAAGUAUAUUUUUUGGUUCACAAAGUUGUGUGUUAAAUUACUUAGUAUAGAUACUAUUAUUGUGUUAUAUAUGAUGUAUAUAUGAAAUUAUUGUAUUGUACUGAAUUAAAUGCUGGCUUCAGUCCAGUCUGUCUGCACGGCAAAAUGCAUAUUUUAGUUUAGUCUAAUUUAGUUGGUCAAAAUUAUUGUGUAGUUAAGGCUAAUAUAUUUCUCAUUAUAACUUACUUAUGAUGCAGAUUUAAAAAUGUACUACAGUGACAUAACACUACACGUUACAAUAUAUUUAGAUACCGUCACUUACUUAUUUUGUACUUUCUGUCAUGAUGCAAAUUUUUGUCAUGUUAUUUUAAACAUGGUGCAUUACUUUUUUAUAGUUUCUUUAUGUAUUAUGACGUAUGCUAUAUUUGCUAAACUUGAAUGCAUGUUCAUUAUGUUGAUGAAAAUAAAAUAUGAUGUCUAGGUUAUCAGCAAUAUGAA
Mytilus trossulus (common blue mussel) is the source of this 4625-nucleotide long non-coding RNA. RefSeq lists it as uncharacterized. NCBI's taxonomy places the organism in Eukaryota, Metazoa, Mollusca, Bivalvia, Mytilida, Mytilidae. The record is from RefSeq and is a predicted model, not a curated record. The transcript has 12 exons.